CAGGGCUGCUAUCUGUGAUCUCUCCUUUGGUGUCUCUGCAAGCAUGGCUGAAAGAGAGGAGAGCUAUGUGUCAGAGAAAGCAAUAGAGCAAAAAUGACAACGACCUUGGAAGAAAUAUUUUGAAUUCUCAAGAUGUUCCUUUCCUCUUUGAUAUAUUUUUAAGAAGGCAUUGAAACAAGAAUCGACUUAUCCUGUUUACCCAUAGGAACACAGUGGAAACUUUUUUGAAACUCAAGUUCUUCAUAAUACCAUUAAGGAAGGAUUUUGGAUGAACGGUAACCUGGAACCAACACAGACCACACAUGGAGAAAUUGCUCACUCUUCUAAGUUUCAGACUGUGUAUUAUACCUUAGCAAAAACAAUGGCAAAAAUAGAAUUCUACAUUAGAGACACAGGAAGAUAUACAAGCAACAUUC
This 416-nucleotide long non-coding RNA is filed under the name Capra hircus (goat). Its description in RNAcentral is "lncRNA (ENSCHIG00000004647.1)". Lineage: Eukaryota; Metazoa; Chordata; Mammalia; Artiodactyla; Bovidae. The record is from RNAcentral.